This 566-nucleotide small RNA is filed under the name Pongo abelii (Sumatran orangutan). RNAcentral's name for it is "processed transcript". Lineage: Eukaryota; Metazoa; Chordata; Mammalia; Primates; Hominidae. The record is from RNAcentral.
AAAGUGGUGUCAGAAGUGAUUUAGAGAGGUUCAUGAUAUUUUAUUUGAAACUGCUGGUGCUUAAAAUGUUUGAGGAAAUCAAGUUUUUAGUGUGGAUUAGAAUAUUCAUCAGAAAAUCACUCAAGGUAAUUUCUAAAUUACAUGUCAAAGAGAGGCAAAAUGUGUUUGGAGUAGAUGACAAUCAGGAUUAUAAUAGGCCUGUUAUCAAUGAAAAACAUAAAGAUCUAAUAAAAGAUUGGGCUCUCAGUUCUGCUGCAGCAGUAAUGGAAGAAAGAAAACCACUGACUACAUCUGGAUUUCACCACUCAGAGGAAGGCACAUCUUCAUCUGGAAGCAAACGUUGGGUUUCACAGUGGGCUAGUUUGGCUGCCAAUCAUACAAGGCAUGAUCAAGAAGAAAGGAUAGUGGAAUUUUCUGCAUCUCUUCCUUUAGAGAAUGAGACAGAGCUCAGUGAGUCUGGCAUGACAGUGAGAAGUACUGGCUCUGCAACCUCCUUGGCUAGCCAGGGGGAGAGAAGGAGACGAACUCUUCCCCAGCUUCCAAAUGAAGAAAAGUCUCUUGAGAGC